CCGAGAACUACCAGAGUACACAGGCUGGAGGAGAUGAACGGGGGAGGUCUCCAUCACCCACGCUGAGGGAAGCCUGCCCAGAGCGACCAGCACACCCCUCACCCAUGCUCUAUAACCUAGACAGACGGUGUUGAUACUGCGUUAACAAGUUCCACAGACUAAUGCCUUCAGAGUAAAAUGAGAGGACUCCUGAAUUCACGGGUGAAAACUCCUCUUCGUACAUCAGAGGAGGAAGGGAAGGCAAGGGUUCUGGUUAUAAUGAGAGCCAGAACAGCCAAACAUAUCGUCUGGAGACUGAUGGAGAAUGACCGCCAAGAAGUGAUGGUGGUCACCCUGGGAAGGGGAGUAAGGCAAGGAGGCAGUGGUUCCCACGGCCCUCGGAGCUGGGCUCUCUAUGCCAGAGUCACUGCAGGACUCUCAGCAAUGGUCUUGUUUUCUAAGACUCCAGGCUUCGCUGGGCAGAA
Alexandromys fortis (reed vole) is the source of this 464-nucleotide long non-coding RNA. RefSeq lists it as uncharacterized. The transcript is spliced from 3 exons. Lineage: Eukaryota; Metazoa; Chordata; Mammalia; Rodentia; Cricetidae. The record is from RefSeq and is a predicted model, not a curated record.